UACAGAGGUCUCAAGCGUUGUUCGGAUUCAUUGGGCGUAAAGGGUGCGUAGGUGGCGCUGUAAGUCAGGUGUGAAAUUUCGGAGCUUAACUCCGAAACUGCAUUUGAUACUGCGGUGCUUGAGGACUGGAGAGGAGACUGGAAUUUACGGUGUAGCAGUGAAAUGCGUAGAGAUCGUAAGGAAGACCAGUGGCGAAGGCGGGUCUCUGGGCCGAUACUGACGCUGAGGAGCGAAAGCGUGGGGAGCGAACAGG
RNAcentral lists this ribosomal RNA (253 nucleotides) under uncultured bacterium. RNAcentral's name for it is "partial 16S ribosomal RNA". It matches the Rfam family "Bacterial small subunit ribosomal RNA", at positions 524 to 776 of the family's 1533-position model. The record is from RNAcentral.